This 768-nucleotide long non-coding RNA is filed under the name Chrysemys picta bellii (western painted turtle). Its description in RNAcentral is "lncRNA (ENSCPBG00000025895.1)". Lineage: Eukaryota; Metazoa; Chordata; Testudines; Emydidae. The record is from RNAcentral.
AGGCCGGGAGGUAGAAGGAGGCUUGGAACCGGCCAUUGAGAAUUUUCAGCACUUUUAAUAUUUCCGCUUUUCUCUCCCCUCCCCGUCGCCCACCCCUCGGGUACCAUGGCCCUUGGUACCCUCCAAGCAGGGCUGUCAUCGCCCUGCGGAUGAGCAGCCUGCCUGACCCGGCACUGCCGCAGAGGCAGAGAAGAGAGGAAGGAGGCCAGCCAGCCGCAUCCAGGCCUAGCUAGCCGCAGUGGGGCUGGCCAGAUACCACUGGGGCACCAUGGGCAAUAGCUGGAUGGGUGAGACCCAGGGCUGGAGCAGAGAGAUGGGGACAUCCCAGAGCAAAGAGAAAGAUCUAUCUAUCUAUCUAUCUAUCUUCCACAGAGACUGGCUGAGGAAGAGGAGGAGAUGUCACCGAGGAAGAUCUCAACCCCCCUGUUGGUCCUGCCACCUAGACGCGAAGAGUCUCUUCAUCUCGCAGGUCAGACUCCAUCCCUCACUUCCCGUCCCGGUCCGGGACCAAAGGAAAUUGGGAAAAGCCGAGAUUCCCCUCGGAAGGGAAAAUGCGAGAUUCCACCAGCUCCUUUUGGGGUGUCAGAUUUGGGAGACCUUCGGAGGUGUGGAAAUGAUUUAUAAAUGCAACGGGACAAAGGCAAGCGACUUUGCAGUCGAAUCUCCUGCAGGCUGAGGACAGUGGAAGGAUCCAAAGAGCAAAAACAUCCCAGCCAGAGGUGAGUGGAAAAUAUCCCUUCACGCACAUUGGUUGUGAAAGAGAAAUAG